This 9633-nucleotide long non-coding RNA is filed under the name Coffea arabica (coffee). RNAcentral describes it as "long non-coding RNA (CARA_LNC003896)". Lineage: Eukaryota; Viridiplantae; Streptophyta; Magnoliopsida; Gentianales; Rubiaceae. The record is from RNAcentral.
UUCCCACACGAGCUCAACUUUGGUGGUUGACAGUUUUCUGUCCAUGCCAAGAGCCCCUUUGGUGUAGGACAUGCCACACACAUCCCAUUUUGGCACAAGCCAAAAUUACCACAUUUUGAUGGCAAAGCACAUUUUUCUGUUUCAAAAUUAUACUCCGAAAGAAAGUGUAGGUCUCCAGCCAUCUAUCAAAUCUGACAUUGUCAUAGUAGGUAUAACUGUAUAAGCCUUCACAUUGCCAUCAGAUUCAAUCCUCAGAAAAGAGUAUGUUGCAUUGUAAUUUAUUGUACUGAGCUCUUGAGCUGCAUGGGUUUUGACAAAAGUCCAUUCCUAUUAAGUGGCAUGUCAUAUCCCUGGUCAUUGUGACUGUGGAAUCCUAAUUCCUAACCAAAGAACUGCUUAAUAAUUCUAACAAUGUCUGACAGCCCCAACAAAGCUAUGUACCUGGUCCAUCUUCAAAUGGGCUUAGCAGGUUGUAGAUAAAUGGAUCCGCUGCCUCACAAGUUUCAUUUAAAUUCAUUUCACAGGUUUUUUUUUUUUUUUUUGAUAAGUGGGAGGUCUCUGGAUUUCUCAUUUAUAUUUUUUCCCUCCUACCAUCUGCCCAUCUCUUUCCCCUUCCAUGUUAGAGUAAAAUGGUCUUUUCAACUUGAGGUAUCAAACUUUGGUUUGAGGAAAGGAAAAUGAAUGGUUUAUAAACUUGGACUCAUUGGCUAUUCAAUAAAUUGGAUAAACCAUUCUAGAUCAGUGGAUUUGGAUUUCGACUAAAAGUUAGUUGAGACAGUUCUUGAACUCAGGUUGUGACACAACUUUUGUUACGCCAUAUUUUAAUUUAAUCACAUCAUAUAUGCAACUUAAUGCAGGUUUGCAAAAAAUUAUUAUAGGCAAAAACUUUUUUUAUCAACUUUAAUUGAGAAAAAUAAGAAUAUCAUGUGUAGGAAGAGCUACAAUGCUCGAUUGGUAUAGAAAAACAUUAUUGAUCUAGAAAAUAUUAGAUAAGACAUAUAAGUAGACAUGCGUGCAUUCCGGUUUAAUCUAUCAAAAGGGCCUCAUAGAAUAAGAAAAGAAAAGCAAAACACGAAUCUGGGCUGCUUGGAUUUAUUGCAAAUACGAUACAAGUCUUGCGAUCAAACCAGAAGAACCAUAAUUAAUACAAUAUUGCAGAAGCUCAACAAGAAGCUUCUUUAUUCGGCACAUAAAACUCUCAAAGCAUACUUAAUGCUAUGCUAACAAUUAUCCAAACCAAGUUUUAACUUUUAAUAGUUUUUUUUCCUUAAGUUAAGGCUUUCCAUAAAAUCAAUAUUUGACAUAGGCACUAGUGGUGUUGACGUCUUUGACGAGAGUCAAAAGCACCGGCAUAAGCAAGCACUUUGAACUAUCUUGCUUGUAGACAAAUCCUUUGCAAUUGCAAUCAUUGGUGCACUUGUCUCUGCAUGCUCCAAAUUCCAUUUCGACUUCUUGACUAUCAGAAGACCACUGGUGGUUCAAGAAGGAUUGCACCCCAUCAAGCUUGAAAUAUUUUGCCUUAGGUUUCUUCCCACACGAGCCCAACUUUGGUGGUUGACAAUUUUCUGUCCAUGCCAAGAGCCCUUUUGGUGUAGGACAUGCCACACACAUCCCAUUUUGGCACAAUCCAAAAUUACCACAUUUUGUUGGCAAAGCACAUUCUGUUGCCAAAUUACUUGGAAAGAAAGUAUAGGUCUGCAUCCAUCUAUCAAAUCUGACUUUGUCAUUGUAAGUAUAAGCCUUGACAUUGCCAUCAGUUUCAAGCCUCAGAAAAGAGUAUGUUGCGUUGUAAUUUAUUUUACUGAGUUGUUGAAUCCCAUCAACCUGUGGUUUUGGCGCUGGCGAUUCGAAUAUUUCAAAGAUAAGGUUCCAAGCUGUUGGAGUAGGCUCCCACGUCGAAGGUUGGGUGUUAAACCUUACAGUACUUCCAAAAUUCCCCGGCCAACCAUUGUAGCGAACUUGUUGGCCAGCGUUGUUUAGAUACAAGAGGAGGCCAUCAUCUCCAAGCACUAAGCUGUACUUUCGAUCGGAGCCAUCAACAUCAGAAGUUCGACUGACAAGCUUGUUUACGCCACUCCCGCGAAGGGACUGCCCAACUAGUAACGAAUCAACUGGAUAAUCAAAGCUUUGCCAAAUGAACUUUCCCUUUGUAUCAUACAGCACAAGGUUGCCAUUCUGGAGUAAUUUGAUGCCCGUGACACCCUUGUUAGCCGUGUUGGUUUGCCACACAAGGCCGCCGUCAGAGUCGGCUAGGACCAAGUUUCCAUCCCGGCCGAAAGAAAGGGUGGCGUUUUCUUUCACGGGGUGGUUGCGGUUGGCGUCCCAAACCCAUCGCAUUAGGCCCUCGUCAUCUGGGAUGCCAACACGAAUGCCAAGCACGAAAGAAGUUGGGGUGGUGUUGUAGAAACACAGUCUGAAGGGGAAUGUGUAGAAAUCAUAGACAUCAUUGGUUAUGAUGCGAUAAGUUGCCCCAUACUCAGCUGUGGGUACGAAAUUUUGGAAUUCUCCCAGUGGACCUGUGUUGACAAUUUUGAAGGUAUUGUUUGUUGGCACUUGAGCUCUGGUGCUAAUGGCCAAGAAACAGAGGAGGAGGAGAAUGCUAAGACAGGGUGAAAAUGGAAAGGUACGACGAGCCAUUGGAAUUCUUUUUGUGCAAUAAGGAAUAAAGGGCAAGCUAAUCAGUUGGAAAUGGAAUGAGAGAUAUGAAGUGGGUUGUAACCAUUUGGUAUUUAUAGAUUUUUUUUAUUGGUUUUUCUGCAUACAAUUGUUGAAAUUUGAAAACUGAUCAAAAAAAUAUUGAAAAUUGAAAUUUGAAUUUCAACGUCAAAGUUGGUAACCUGCAAACAAGAUUGAGCAUCCAUCUAGUAACAUAGUAUUACAUAAUUUUGUUCUAUGUCGUUUUGGUUGUCAAAUGAUUAUAAUGUACAACACAAUUUUUUAUAAGGGAAAACGAAACAAAUAAUCCCUUACAUAUUACUUAUUUAAUCAUUCACAUACAUAAAAAUGCAAAUUCAUCCUUUAAAUAUAUAAGGGAUAAUUUUAGAAACCUCCCUGAGGUUUCUAAUAAUUUCACAAAGCUCCCCUUAAUAUUUCAAAAUUACACAUACCUCCCCUAUUGCUGUAAAAGUACUCUACUACCCCUAUAUAGGAUACUUAAUGACUUUUUCUUUUUGGAAAUUUCAGAAAUUUCAAGAAAAACUAAAAUUGACUUGUUUUUUCUCUCUCUCUCUCUCUCUACCUUACUCUUUCUUCCAUUUCCUUUUUUGCUAAAUUCCUACCACUCAUUCCUCUCUACCUAAUAUUCUUCCUCCAAUUCACGACCAAAUUCUAUCUAUUAUCCCUUACCCGUAUUUAUCCCCCUCCUUCCCUUUUUCUUCUUCUUCUUUUAUCUCUAUUCUCAUCUCUUUUUUGCAAAUAUGAUCAAGUUCAUCCUUUUUAUCCUUUUAAUUCUAAGUGUAAUGGGUUUGAUUUUUCUGCGUCUAUUUAUUUUAUCCAAUGUUAGUUGAUUAUGGGUGAUAAAACUUAGUGAUGUCAAAAGUCAAGAAUUUGAGGGAUGGAUGUGCUUUAGAAAUGGGUUGUCGAAAAAAAAAAGAAGGCUGCAAAAAGAGAAAGACGAGAGAUCUGUGCUAUUGAUUGUUGAUGAAGUGUUAGUUUUGGGUAAAAGUUUGAGACUGAGUUUUAUCCAAUUUAGCACCAAGUGACGGAUUUAAUUAACUUGUGUAGUAAAUGUAGCCAUGUAGGGGUUGGGUUAUUGGACAUAAAUUAGGCUAUAGUGUUUUAAGUGCUAGAAUUAUUGAAAUUUAUUUUGAUUUAAAUUGGGGUGUUUGCUUGGCUUUUGGGGUGGAGUUGUUUGGAAUAAGGCAAUCAUCAUAGUUGAAUUUUUCUCCAAACUUUUAUUUUUGGUAGAAAGAGUUUGUUGGCUCUGGUGUUAGAAGAAAAGCAAUCAACAGAGCUCUUUUAUUUUUCCUUUUUAUCUUUUUGACAAAAAGGGUAGUUUAGGAUAUUUGAAGGAAUUGGUAGCCUAUUGGACAUAUUUUGAAGCAUAAAUAGUGAAAGCAAGGUAGGUGUGUGUAAUUUUUGAAACCUAAGGGGAGCUUCUUGUAAUUGUUAGAGACCUCAAGGGAGGUUUAUGAAAUUAUCCCAAUAUAUAAAUUGCAUCAUGUUUGUCUGAAAAUUCAUUUUAGGAAAUUCUUUUUUUACCUGAAAACGCCAUGUGGCUACCAAAUGAAAUAUUUCAAAGAUAAAAAAGACAUUACAUACUCAUGAUUUAUCCAUUUUUUUUUGCCUUUUUUCCUCCUCUGUUUUUGCUUCACCAACAUUCAAACAGCAAAUCCUAGAUCCACCACCAUAGUCCGCAAUUUCCAGAUAACAAACACUAUCAAAUAUUGUUUAAUAUCCAGAAAUUGUAAAUUACGGAGAUUUUGCUACAAAAGCCUCAUUGCUGCCGCUAUAACAAGACAAACGCCGCUAUAGUUUGAUAAGCAUACAGAAUAGAGGAUUUGUAUGCUAAUUAAUUUUCUUUUUGUUUUCUGAAAAAGGAAUAAUAUUAAUCAUUCGAUCAUGCAAUUCUAAUAGUGCUUAAAUAAUUAGAUUAGAUUGUGGUGCGAUUGGUAUAUGUCAGGAAUGAAUUUGCAUCAUUUUGAUAAUGAGCGAUUAAAUAACUACAAAUGCGACUACUUGUAUUUUUUUUUUUUACAAUAUCGCAACACAUCAUCUGUCCCGCUUUUUAUUUCACUCCAUAUCUCAGCUUUUAUUAUAGUGUCAUUUUUCUUUCACAAACAUCUUAUUCUACUUCUUUUUUAUUUCCUUAAGUUCCAAUAACUACUAACAUAUUGUAAAACACAAAUUUAAUCAUACAAAAAAAAAACAAAAUAUCACUAAAAAAAUGAGAUUUUUAUGAUUUUUUUUGUUGUACUUUUUGUUUUUCUAUUAAGGAAAAUGAUCGGUUUCAUUCUUCACAUUUCACAAAAAUAUUCUUUUCAUCCCUCACUUAAAAACCGAAGCAAUAUCGCCCUUGACAUUUAAAAACUGAAGUUCUUACAUCCCUGAACCCAAAUUUCAAUGUGAAUCAAACUACCAAUCAACUUGAUUACAAAUUUUGGGGAUGUAAUUGGUAGAUCACUUGGUUAACUCACCUUGAUAUUCAUGUAAAAUUUAACGAACCCAAAAAUAAAAAAUAAAAAAUUAUAACAUAAAAAAGAAAUAUUAAUCUUUCCUACAUUAUCAUUAUAUACACUGACGGUGACGGUUUUAUGUACCGCCAUAUCAUUUCAAUUUAAAUUUAAACACCAAAUUUUAUAUUUAUGAUACGCAUCUAGAUUCGCAAGCGGAUAUACAAACGGUGUAUGAAAAGAUUUAUCCAAAAAAAAAACUCUACUAUUCCAAGACAAAGAAUGGCCUUUUAUGUUAUAAUUUUUAUUUUUUUUUUGGUUUAAUAAAUGUCAUGUGAAUAUGAUGAAAUUGACUGGGUGAUUUAUCAAUUCUAUUUCCAAAAUUUAUUACUAGGUUAUUGAAUGGUUUGAUUCAGAUUCAAAAUUAGGUUCAGGGAUGUAAUAGUUUUAAUUUUUAAAUGUCAGGGACGAAUUUGCUUCAUUUUAAAAGUAAAGGACGAAAAGAAUAUUUUUGCGAAAUGUGAAGGAUGAAAUAGGUCAUUUUUCCUUUCUAUUGUAUUAUACUUUUUAAUAUGUUGAAUUUUGUGUUUUACCCUUUAGUAGUCAUUGAAACUUUAGGAAAUAAAAUAAAAUAUUUGUAAAGGAGGAAUGACAAAAUAAUUAAAGAUGUGACAUACGAUAAAAGAGGUAGGAUACAGUGGGUCAUAAUAUGCAAAAAAUGGCAAGUAUUAAGCUACUAAAAAUAAAUGGUAGAAAGAAAGUCCACUUUUGGAAGUUUGAAGUCAAUAUAGCAGCUGAGUCAAAAAAAAAAAAGUCAAUAUAGCAGCCUGUAGAUGUGCUGCAAUCCCCUUAGAACCGGGCUCCGUGUCGUCUUCACCCUUCACUAAUUAGCAACUUGAGCACAUUGCAGACAAACCUUUCCUCUUUGCCUUUGGGGUUAGAAGAUGGGAAAACGCGUCUGCUUCUUCUAUACUUUUGGGCUGUAACGCAGCAGCAUUUAGCAACUGUAAUGAAGUUAAUAAAGUUUAACAGAAGGAUAACAUCAAGGUUUUAGACAAUUAUCCUAGAUCCAAACCUUCCAAUUGCCUGAACCAUAAAGGACUUUAACAUCUUUGGCUCCCGGUUUGAGUGCGCUAGGCUCAAAGAUUGGCGAAGAACGUUUGGCACGGUUAAAUUGAAAACCAGCAUUAAAUGGUGACAGUCCAUUUUGUAUCCUUCCAUUUUUUUUUGUUUGGAUCCAUUUUGGUUCUCUUUUGCAUGGGCGCAAUCUGUAGCAAUAGAUGCUGAUGCAGAUCAGCAGAUGGAUGCUUCCAGUUCCAUAUGGGAUGAAUUGUGAUCAAAGUAUUAAUCUAUCCUUAUGGCUUUGUUUCAUGUUUACCUGCUUGGCAAUGAGAAAAGCCAUGCACGGCUUUCUUUAUUUGUUGAGAGACUGAUCACAUCAAAACCAAGAGAUUCAUCACCUCAAACCGCGCAUGAUUUUUAAUUUAUCAAGUCAGUCAAGAAUUGUGUGGUAGCUUUGUGGGCUGGGAAAGUGGGAAUGCGCCAGAAUUUGCAGAUUGGUUGUGGUCCUGUGGAGUGGACCUGCGCGCAUUGCUAGCUUUGAGUGAUUGGAAAAGUCGGGCGAAUGGAUAAAUAUUGAAUACAUGCAUGCAUGAUAUAAAGUCAUUAGCAACCAAUGUCAAAUAGUCAUUGCAGAAGACUUGUGGGUUCCUCUUUGAUGUCUUGGACCAUUUCGAUAUGUGUUCUUUGAACAUAAUUGUGUGCUUAUCAUUAAUGGCAUGAUGGUAUAAUCUUUCUUUCCUGUCUCUUUUUGUUAUGCGCGCAAGAAUGAUCAACAUCGACAAGUUUGCUUGCGGUUGGUUGUUAGAUGCACGAUUUUGAUUUACUUAUUUGUUUUUGGUAAAUAAAAGUUUGAUUUUAAAGGAGAGGAACAUAGUUCAGGCUAAGGCUCUGUUUGGUAUGAUAUAAAGUAUUUUCCUUAAGAAAAUAUUUUCCAUGGAAGUUCUUUUCUGGGAAAAUAUUCACAUUUUUCAAUGUUUUCUGAUGUUUGGUUGAAAUUUUUAACUACAUUUUUAUUAUCAAAAUUCAACUCCUUCCGCCACUCGCUUUUCUCUUCCACUGCUGGAAACCGAUCUUCCUAAUUCCUACCACUAAAAAUAGCAGAACCGCUCAAAAUGGAAUAAUCCAAGUCAGGCAUAAGGACAAUUCGUUGACUCAUAACUAUUGGCGCCAUAAAAGACAUUACCAAGCUAGACAUAUCAAGACCAUGAAAUGGCUGGUGAUUAAGGUCAAUCAAUGAAAGUGAAAGAACAGGCAUAAAUAUCUUCUCAAGUUGAAGAAAUAGGCUCUGUUCUUUUUCAUAUGAUUAGUGCUCUUAUUGACUCGUAUAUGAAAUUUGGUUUAAAGAUCAUAUACUAGCGCUCAAACCACAACCUCAAAGGCAUUAAAAUCCAGGCAAAUUUGAGCUAAAGAUACAUAAUUUUGAUUAAGAAAACAGUGUAAAGAAAAUUAAAAUGACUGAAGAAAGACAGUGGGAAUUGAUAAUAAUCCAAAUUGUUAACAAAUUCGUAGUGUUUGCGUCACCAGUAAAUUCAUCAGCAUCAAAAGCACAAUGUCAAAGAGAUCAGAGUGAGUAGGGUGAGGCCUUUUUUUUUUUUUGAAUAUGCUACAAGCUUUGAAAGUUUGACAAAUACCUUUAAUAGGCGGCCACAUGCGUUUAUAAAAACAAUUUCGAUAAGUCCGGAAGGGAAGUUAUUUUUCACAAGAUGAACAAAAAUCUUUUACACAGUAAAAUAUUUUCAUUAACUUUUGUGCAACCAAAUAAGGGAAAUUAGGAAAAUAUUUUCCUGAAAAAGAUUUCACUUGAAACAAAUGGACCCGAAAUGAUACUCAUAUACAAUAUUUGUUUAAGACCUGUCUGAAUGAAUCAAUGGGUAUGAAAAGCCGAAUCUGAGGGUUUCAUCAUUAGCUAUUUUGCUAGUUAUUCAACUUGAUUAUCCCUUUGUCCUAAUUUUUUUUAUGAAACAAAAUCAAAACAGAAGCAAAAAAAAUUAGUAAAUAAAUUAAAGGGACACGUAUCUCUCUCACCACCUUCUGUUCCCCUUCCCUCUGUCCCCUCAAAAUCGCCUCAAAGCUAUGUACCUAGUUCGUAUCUAUAUCGCUUUAAAUGGAUUUGUGGCCACACAAGUUUCAUUUCAUUCCAUUUCAGAAUAAAAUAAUCUUUUUUAACUUUUGUUGUAGUACCAUAUUUUAAUGCAAUCGGAUCAUAUCUAAUCUUUAAUUAUAUUAUCUUUCCAGCUAAAGGAUAAACUUGCGAGAAAUAGAAUUUGUGAGAGGACUCGUCGUUUAAUUAAAUUUGGCAAGACCAACUUGUGCAGUGAUAUUUGGGAGGAUGAUCCAAGAAAGAGAAUAUAUUAUUAAAGAUAUUCCAAUGAAAGAUACGUUAGGAGAGGCAAGUGUUACCUUUACACAAAAUGAAGUCCCAGAUUUUAAAAAAUUGCUCAGCAAAAACGAACUAAAAUAUUCAUAAACAUGCAAAGAUAAUGUAAGUUUGCAGAAAAUUAUUAUAGGAAAAGAUGCUUUUUUGUCAGCUUUAAUUGAGGAAAAUAAGAAUAUCAUAAGUAGGAAGAGCUACAAUGCUCGAUUCUAUUAUACAAGCAUUGUUGAUCUAGAAAAUGUUGGAUAAGACAUAAAAGAAGGCAUGGGUGCAUUCCGGCUCAAUCUAUCAAAAGGGCCCUCACAGAACAAGGAAAGAAAAAGCAAAAUACCAAUCUGGGCAGCUUGGAUUUAUUGCAAACAGGAUACAAGUCUUACGAUCAAACCAGAAGAGCCAUAAUCAAUACAAUAUUGCAGAAGCUCAACACGAAGCUUCUUUAUUCGGUGCAUAAAACUCUCAAAUCAUACUUGAUGCUAUGCUCACAAUUACCCAAACCAAGUUUUAACUUUUAAUAGUUUUAUUUUUUUUUUCUCUCAAGUUAAAGGAUUUCCACAAAAUCAAUAUUUGACAUACGCACUGGUGGUGUUGACAUCUUUGGCGAGAGUCAAAAGCAGUGGCAUAAGCAAGCACUUCGAAGUGUCUUGCUUGUAGACAAAUCCCUUGCAAUUGCAAUCAUUGGUGCACUUGUCUCUGCAUGCUCCAAAUUCCAUUUCCACUUCUUGACUAUCAGAAGACCACUGGUGGUUCAAGAAGGAUUGCACCCCAUCAAGCUUGAAAUAUUUUGCCUUUGGUUUCUUCCCACACGAGCCCAACUUUGGUGGUUGACAAUUUUCUGUCCAUGCCAAGAGCCCUUUUGGUGUAGGACAUGCCACACACAUCCCAUUUUGGCACAAUCCAAAAUUACCACAUUUUGUCGGCAAAGCACAUGCUGUUGCAAGAUCACUUGGAAAGAAAGUAUAGGUCUGCAUCCAUCUAUCAAAUCUGACUUUGUCAUAGUAAGUAUAAGCCUUGACAUUGCCGUCAGUUUCAAGCCUCAGAAAAGAGUACGUUGCAUUGUAAUUUAGUUUACUGAGUUGUUGAAUCCCG